Molecule: ribosomal RNA, 378 nt
Filed under: Funneliformis mosseae
Lineage: Eukaryota; Fungi; Glomeromycota; Glomeromycetes; Glomerales; Glomeraceae
Description: eukaryotic LSU rRNA
Rfam family: Eukaryotic large subunit ribosomal RNA
Source: RNAcentral
AAAGAAAAUAACAAUGAUUCCCUCAGUAACGGCGAGCGAAGAGGGAUAAGCUCAAAUUUUAAAUCUGUUGGGUUCCACUUAACAGAGUUGUAUUUUGAAGAAACGUUUUCUGCAUCCAGGAUUAGCCUAAAUCCUUUGGGAUAAGGUAUCAUGGAGGGUGAGAAUCCCGUUCAUGGUUAAUCUUAAGGAAGCUCUACGAUACGUUUUCCAAGAGUCGAGUUGUUUGGGAUUGCAGCUCAAAAUGGGAGGUAAAUUUCUCCUAGGGCUAAAUAUUGGCGAGAGACCGAUAGCGAACAAGUACCGUGAGGGAAAGAUGAAAAGAACUUUGAAAAGAGAGUUAAACAGUACGUGAAAUUGUUGAAAGGGAAACGAUUGAAG